AGGGAUAGCCCAGAGAAAUUUGGAUUAAUACCUCAUAGUAUUAUAGAAUGGCAUCAUUUUAUAAUUAAAGUCACAACGGUGAAAGAUGAGCAUGCGUCCCAUUAGCUAGUUGGUAUGGUAACGGCAUACCAAGGCAACGAUGGGUAGGGGUCCUGAGAGGGAGAUCCCCCACACUGGUACUGAGACACGGACCAGACUCCUACGGGAGGCAGCAGUGAGGAAUAUUGGUCAAUGGGCGCAAGCCUGAACCAGCCAUGCCGCGUGCAGGAUGACGGUCCUAUGGAUUGUAAACUGCUUUUGCACAGGAAGAAACAACGCUACGUGUAGCGUCUUGACGGUACUGUGAGAAUAAGGAUCGGCUAACUCCGUGCCAGCAGCCGCGGUAAUACGGAGGAUCCAAGCGUUAUCCGGUAUCAUUGGGUUUAAAGGGUCCGUAGGCGGUUUAGUAAGUCAGUGGUGAAAGCCCAUCGCUCAACGGUGGAACGGCCAUUGAUACUGCUAGACUUGAAUUAUUAGGAAGUAACUAGAAUAUGUAGUGUAGCGGUGAAAUGCUUAGAGAUUACAUGGAAUACCAAUUGCGAAGGCAGGUUACUACUAAUGGAUUGACGCUGAUGGACGAAAGCGUGGGUAGCGAACAGGAUUAGAUACCCUGGUAGUCCACGCCGUAAACGAUGGAUACUAGCUGUUGGGGGCAACUUCAGUGGCUAAGCGAAAGUGAUAAGUAUCCCACCUGG
Molecule: ribosomal RNA, 734 nt
Filed under: uncultured Bacteroidota bacterium
Lineage: Bacteria; Pseudomonadati; Bacteroidota
Description: bacterial SSU rRNA
Rfam family: Bacterial small subunit ribosomal RNA
Source: RNAcentral